GAAAAAGCAGCAGCAGACGUGCAGGAGUUAUGUCCGCGGAGGCGGCACACAUACUGAAAAAAAAGGAGGGCAUUCUGUCCUUGGAAAAGUACCUUGAUCGUAAGGUAGUGGUAUCGCAAAAAAACCAUGAAGUGCACGGCGUACUGAAAGGGUUUGACAAUAAUGUGAACUUGGUUCUAGCCGACGCAGAGUUGUGGCACCGCAACACACACAUACGCAAGAUUGGCGCCUGUGUCGUGCGUGGUGGCCCCGUAAACCUCAUCCUUUCCGGUGACACCACCAUCAUUCCAAAUCCCUUUAUUUAGUGAAUGGGAAGGUUGGGGUGUGGGAAGGAAGUUGGCUGCUCGUCGAUGAGGUCUGCCCCUUGUUUUCGUACCCAACCAAAGAUACGCACGCUGUCUUGGACACACGAGUGCUACAAGGGAUGCCUUGCGAGGGCACUUUCUCUCAUGCCGAUCAGCCACUCUGCGCGGCCGCGGCCUCCCUGCGUAUGGUUCGAAAACCGAGUUGACCCUCAGGCUCGUCGCCAUCACGAUCUUGCGCGUGAAACACGACCCUGGCCUAGAUGCUC
RNAcentral lists this unclassified non-coding RNA (571 nucleotides) under Leishmania donovani. RNAcentral's name for it is "gene:LdHU3.26.0010(CDS-product:Lsm7p_protein_puta tive)". Lineage: Eukaryota; Euglenozoa; Kinetoplastea; Trypanosomatida; Trypanosomatidae. The record is from RNAcentral.